This 734-nucleotide long non-coding RNA is filed under the name Vigna radiata. Its description in RNAcentral is "long non-coding RNA (VRAD_LNC002377)". Lineage: Eukaryota; Viridiplantae; Streptophyta; Magnoliopsida; Fabales; Fabaceae. The record is from RNAcentral.
UAGGAGGGUGCCUCCUUCAUUCACAAAGGUUGCUGCUCCUUUUCAUUUUUACUAGAAUUUUAUAUUAGAAAAUCUUGUCAGGUAAAAGAUUGGGUUUUGAAGGUUUAAAUGGUGCGGAUUCGUGAGAGAGGUGAUAGAAGGAAAGUUUUAUCUUUAUUUAAUGCUAUAAAAUUUGGUGCAGAGAUGUGUGUGCUGUGAAAGUAGAAAAAAAAAGAAAGAAGUUAAGAGUGCAGGAGAUGGUUACGGGUGAAGGGAGAAAUUAUAGUGGAGAGAGAUAAGGAUUUUGAGUGGAAGGAAGAAAGUUAGAGAUGAUGGUGUGUGUGGGUGUGGUUAGAGAGAAUGAAAGAAAGAAGAGGAAGGAUGAGGGUUAGGAGGGGCGGGUUGGAUGUGUGUGAGAGUGUGUAAAUAAAAUGAUGGGUUUCAUUUACGUGACAGAGAGAAAAAAAAAAGGGGUUUGUUUAAUGUGAGAAAAUAGAAGGAAGAUGGGUUGUGUGGAACCAAGUAAGUAGUGGUGUGUUGGAGUAGGUAGCAGCAACUAACACAAAGAAAAGAGAAGUAGAAUGAAAAAUAGAGGAAUUAUUGAUUUAGGAAUUGUUUUGUUAAUUUAGAACAAGGAAAGUUUGGUUAAGUACUUUUGUUUUACUAGGUUUUUGUAACUUUUAUUUGGUCUGAAAGUCCAAUGAAAUAUCUUAAAUUUAUAUUAAUGUUAUCAAAUAAUAUUUUUUAAUCAUGAA